GUGCCAGCCGCCGCGGUAAAACGUAGGACGCGAGCGUUAUCCGGAGUUACUGGGCGUAAAGGGCGGGCAGGCGGUUCACAAAGUCUGGCGUGAAAUCUCCCAGGCUCAACCGGGAGGGUGCGUUGGAAACUGGUGAGCUAGAGGGCGGUAGAGGGUCGUGGAAUUCCGGGUGGAGUGGUGAAAUGCGUAGAGAUCCGGAGGAACACCAGAGGCGAAAGCGGCGACCUGGGCCGCACCUGACGCUGAACCGCGAAAGCCAGGGGAGCGAACGGGAUUAGAUACCCUGGUAGUCC
RNAcentral lists this ribosomal RNA (293 nucleotides) under uncultured bacterium. RNAcentral describes it as "partial 16S ribosomal RNA". It matches the Rfam family "Bacterial small subunit ribosomal RNA", at positions 505 to 796 of the family's 1533-position model. The record is from RNAcentral.